Molecule: ribosomal RNA, 253 nt
Filed under: uncultured bacterium
Lineage: Bacteria
Description: partial 16S ribosomal RNA
Rfam family: Bacterial small subunit ribosomal RNA
Source: RNAcentral
GACGAAGGGGGCUAGCGUUGUUCGGAAUUACUGGGCGUAAAGCGAGUGUAGGUGGUUGUCGUAGUCAGGCGUGAAAGCCUUGAGCUCAACUCAAGAAAUGCGCUUGAUACUGGGCGGCUAGAGGACCGGAGAGGAUAGUGGAAUUCCCAGUGUAGUGGUGAAAUACGUAGAGAUUGGGAAGAACACCAGUGGCGAAGGCGGCUAUCUGGACGGUUUCUGACACUAAGACUCGAAAGCGUGGGGAGCAAACAGG